UACAUGUGGGGCAAGCGUUGUUCGGAAUUACUGGGCAUAAAGGGUGCGUAGGUGGUUUGUUAAGUCAGGGGUGAAAUCCCGCGGCCCAACCGUGGAACUGCCUUUGAUACUGGCGAACUUGAGUGCGUGAGGGGUAGGGGGAACGAGCAGUGUAGCGGUGAAAUGCGUAGAGAUGCGGAGGAACACCGAUGGCGAAGGCAGCCCCCUGGGCCAACACUGACGCUCAGGCACGAAAGCGUGGGGAGCAAACAGG
RNAcentral lists this ribosomal RNA (253 nucleotides) under uncultured bacterium. RNAcentral's name for it is "partial 16S ribosomal RNA". It matches the Rfam family "Bacterial small subunit ribosomal RNA", at positions 524 to 776 of the family's 1533-position model. The record is from RNAcentral.